GAUGAACGCUGGCGGCGUGCCUAAUACAUGCAAGUCGAGCGAACAGACGAGGAGCUUGCUCCUCUGACGUUAGCGGCGGACGGGUGAGUAACACGUGGAUAACCUACCUAUAAGACUGGGAUAACUUCGGGAAGCCGGAGCUAAUACCGGAUAAUAUAUUGAACCGCAUGGUUCAAUAGUGAAAGACGGUUUUGCUGUCACUUAUACAUGGAUCCGCGCCGCAUUAGCUAGUUGGUAAGGUAACGGCUUACCAAGGCAACGAUGCGUAGCCGACCUGAGAGGGUGAUCGGCCACACUGGAACUGAGACACGGUCCAGACUCCUACGGGAGGCAGCAGUAGGGAAUCUUCCGCAAUGGGCGAAAGCCUGACGGAGCAACGCCGCGUGAGUGAUGAAGGUCUUCGGAUCGUAAAACUCUGUUAUUAGGGAAGAACAAAUGUGUAAGUAACUAUGCACGUCUUGACGGUACCUAAUCAGAAAGCCACGGCUAACUACGUG
This 497-nucleotide ribosomal RNA is filed under the name uncultured bacterium. RNAcentral's name for it is "partial 16S ribosomal RNA". It matches the Rfam family "Bacterial small subunit ribosomal RNA", at positions 28 to 507 of the family's 1533-position model. The record is from RNAcentral.